Molecule: long non-coding RNA, 5921 nt
Filed under: Daucus carota (carrot)
Lineage: Eukaryota; Viridiplantae; Streptophyta; Magnoliopsida; Apiales; Apiaceae
Description: long non-coding RNA (DCAR_LNC000364)
Source: RNAcentral
GGGGAUCUUUAAAAAUUAGGACUUUUCUCAUAAAUACCCAAGUUUAAAUGAUUUUUUGCAAAAUUACUUUCAUUUUUUAAAGCAAAUUGCAAAAAUACUAUACUUCAAAAUAUAUUUGCAAAAAUACAGUGGUUCAUAUCUGCAACUCUAGCAACCAUAUAUGCAAUCACAAAUGCAACUUUGAAAAAUCUUUUGAAAAUUACUUUUAGUUGCAUAAUAAGUUGCAAGUGGUUGCAAAUCAUGAAAAUCACUGUCCUGCGGGGCCAGUAUUUGUAUCACAAAAGCAACCGUAUAAUCAACUAAAAACAACCACAAAAUCAACUAAAAGCAAAAGUCUUUUGCUGAGAAGAGGAUAAAUCGUAAGCCAGCAUUUUCUACUACAACAUCAAAUGGAUUCGUCAUUCUCGUCGUCGAUCUGGCGAGUGAAUACUGAAAGCGUAGUUUUUGGUCGAGGAUGAUCGGAGUGCAGAGGAUUAGAACAAUUAGAGUUGAUGGUGGUAUGAGAAGUGAAGGCGGGGGGUGUGUGUGGUUCAUGAUUGAGACACAAUAAGGCGGUGUUGUAGGAAUAGGUGACGAUCAGGGAGCAGCUGGCUAUGUUUACCGGUGGUCAAGAGGGAGAAGAAGAGAGAGAGAGAGAAACGCAUAGUUGGAGGGAGUCGGCGAAAUAGUAGUAAAACUUCUCUCCUCGAUUAUGAAAAUAUGUACCGUAUUUCUGCAAUUGUCUGAUUUAGGUCUUUAACAAAACAGUAUUUAUGCAAUAAAAAUAGACUAACAGUAUAUUUGCAAUUAAUAUGUUAAAAUGAGGUAUUUUUGUUAAAUUCCCUAAAAAUUAAUACAUGUUCUUUGUUCAAAAAAGAAUUGAGAAUACUUGUAUUAAUAUUAAUGUGAUUAGUUAAAGAAAAUUUACUGUUUUUUUGUCUCAUUUUGUUUUUAAAACACAUAUCAAUAUGUAAUAUAUUAUAAUUUUUAUAUGACAAAUAGAUACAAUUUUACAUCAAAUAAAAAUUAGAUUUGAAUUUUUAUUGAUAUAAAACAGAUAUUAUAAAACAAACAUAUUUUUCUACAAAUCGUUUUGACACUUAAAUAUAUAGAAAACUGAAAGUAGGUUAUUGUCAAGUAAGUAUGUUGAUGUUACAUUUUGAAUUUUCAAACCAAAAUCAUCCGCAGUAGCACUGUCAAACUAUAUUCUAAGCCUUAGACAACACUGUUGUCAAAACAAUCAGCGGGAGAUCGGUUCUCCGGGUUCCCGGCUAGUAAAAAUUCUAAUUUGUAAACAUGUCACUUUAUGUGGGCUCUUUACAGUCCACAACUCCGGUUACAUUUAGUCAUUUACAUAUCAAUUUUUUUUUAUCAGAGAUUACUUAAUCUAAACAAGCGAUCAAUGCACGAAACCAAGAGGCUCUCUCUCAAAUCAGCAAGAUAAAGUGUUCGGAUGGCAGCAAAAAUGUUGAGAAACAUUUUCAUGAAAAAAAAUAUUUCAAAAUACUCAUGAAAAAAAUUAAAAUUGUGGGGUUGUAAAGUGAAAAACCCAUAUAUAUUAACUUUAACGUUCAAUUAAACGGAAAAUGGUCAAAUGGGUGCAAAGCGAAGCGCUUUUCAAACUUUAGGGUGCAUACUGCCAAAAAAAAUUAUUUGAGACCAAAUCGAAAAAGCGCCUAAACAUAAUGGGUGCAAAGUAUCAAUCACUCUUAUUUUUAUUAUUAUAUUUUUAAUAACUCAAAAUCCAAACAAACAUUUUAAACUCCUAACUUAUCACAUUAAGUUAUAAAUCACGUUAAAUUAGGACUGUAAACGGAUAGGAUUUGGAUCGGAUCUACCUAAAUCCAUAUCCUAAUCCAUUUAAUGUCGGUCUCGAAUCGGAUCGGAUCAGGAGUCGGAUAUUUUACAAGUCAAUCCAUAUCCGGUCCAUUCGGAUCGCGGAUAAUCGGAUCGGAGAUCAGAUCCACUAAAAAUUUUUUUAAAAAAAAAUUUUGCACCAUGGGCAAUGUAAUAACCCUCCAUAAAGAAAAAAAAAAGUGAUAUUUCCUAACUAAAUUAAUUCAUGAAUUUAAGUUAACAAACAUAAAAAGGAACUAAUAAAGCAGUAAAAUAAAUUUUGUAACUGAAAAAUUUAGUUGGCCGUUCAUGUAAAACCUUCAACAUAAAAUGUAUCCAGUGAAUAGAAAAAUAAUAAGUAAGUUGUUUGAUAAUUCUGAAGGAAGAAAAUCGAUUAGCCCGACUUUCCCAAAUGCCUACUAUGGUCAGCUCCUCUGUUUAUAAGGAUUUAGAACUCAGGAGUAGCUGUACAAUUAUAAGAAAAUAUGAUUUAGAAUUUUAUCUUGUAUUUUUAGAAAAUUUUAUUUCAUAUGUAAUAUAUUAAUAUAAUAUAUUAUAAUACAAUAUAAUAUAAAUAUAUAAUAAUGCUAAGCGUGGAUCGGAUCGGAUCGUUAACAGAUCGGAUUUGAUCAUAUCCAUAUCCAUUCUUUAUCAGAUCGGAUUAUUAUCGGAUUAGAUUUGUUUAAUAAAUAUCCAUAUCCUUUUAUUUAACCACGGAUCAGAUAUCCAAUCCAUUUAUAGGCCUACGUUAAAUUAUAAGUUCAGUCAAAAUGGCUCAUUAAUCUUAGAUGACGGUGAACAUGGACAGUAUUAUACAAUUUGAUUAGAUCCCGCUUGGCUGAAAUUAUGACUUAACUUCACUUAUAAUUUAUUGUGAUUUAUGAUAAGAGUUUAAAAUGUUUUUUUUGAAUAAUUUUGACUUAUCUUAUGAGUUAUUAAAAAUAUAAUAAUAAUAACAAUAAAAGUGAUUUAUGUAUAAUUUUAAUUAAUGGUUGAUUUUUAUGAAAAAUGUUAAGUCACCGCAAAAAAUAUCUCAAACUAACUUCUGGUUUUAAGUUUUUUGGCUUGUUUCUGACUUCAAAUGACUUAUUACAUAAUUAGACAUUUGUCAGUUUAAAAUUAAAAAUAUUUUAAAACUCAGAUUUUAACAUAAGGAAAAUAAGUUGCCAGAUUUUAUUUCUUUGAUAUGCAUCUUGAGGGAUUUCAUUGAGAAGUUUGAGCGGGGCAAAGUACAUCAAAGUUGUGAGGUACAGGUUCAACAAUUCACUUAUCUAUGUUAAAUUGUACAGUAACAAACAGAAAUAGGAAUAAUUUUAAUACAGUAUAGGAAUAAUAUAUAAUAGUAAUUUAUAAUCAUAAGAAAAUUAAUAUUUAGAAAAUUCUAACCGAGGUAGAUAUUUUGACGUUUAAUUCUUGGUAGACUUCAAUGUAUGUUAGGACUCUGUAACAACAGAUUGUUUUUGCAUAACACCUUAUUAUUGUACUAAUAAUAAUAUUUCCUAUAGAACUAAAUUAGUACAUAUAAAGCACCAAACUAUAAUUACCCUCAAGAACAAUAGCAAGCUAGCGUUUGAAGUAUGUGUCUGAUUGUCGGCUUUCUUUUGCGAAACUUGUCUUCAGUUCUAUAUGUAUUAGGUUUAUCUAUGAGUCAGCUAUUUUCUCAGGGGCUCUUAUGUUUUGCCCUAACCAUAUUAUAGUUUAGGUUCAGGGUAGGCUUAUGCCUUUUGUUUGUCGAUUCUGCGUUACUCUUUCCUCUGUGUAAGAUUUUCCGAGAAUAUACUUCCCUAUAUAUAUAUAUAUAUAUAUAGAGUCAUACUCCAAUAGAAACCAAAUUAGCCUAAAAACUAAAAAUCAGUUUCUGGACAGUUUUUUAUCACUAUUUUUAACUACAGAAAUCACUAAUUUGUACAUAACAUAUCACUAAUUUAUAUAUAGCAUAUCUCGCGCAUAUAAAUAUAUUUAUACACAUAUAUGCAACGUAUAAGACCAUAAUCUUCACCCAAAUCGUAAUAAUAGACAUCUUACCACCAUUAUCAAACGUUUCUAUGACUUUCCACCAUUGUCUAUCAUCACCAAUAGUCACAUACACUUUCCAUCAUAACUUACAAAACUAACGACUACUUACCAUCAUCAUACAACUUCUCUUGCGGCUUCCUAACCACCAAGAACCUUCCUACGGAUGAAAUUAAUCAUCUAUAACCGAUAAUCAAUAAUUUAGAUAAGUAGAUUUUCUCAAUUUUGAUAAUAAAAAUCGCUGUUUACAUAUUGUAUAAAAACAGUGAUUAGUGGAGUAUAAAUUAGUGAUACCCGUAGUUAUAAAUAGUGGUAGGGAAAUUGGUUUCUAGUUUUUAUUUUAAGAGCUUGCUUAUAAAAAAAAAACACACAUUAGCUUUGCUAAUAAAAAUUUGGAUUUAUAGAAUAUAUAUUAAGAGGAGGAACAAGAAUUAACUGCUUACCACAUGUAGUCAUAGUAUGAGUUUGUAGUUGAAAUAAAGAUUAAAUUUAACUUCAUAGAGAUAUAAUGAUUAUAAUUAUUUUUCUGAUCAUGUAUUUCAUCUUUUUGUGUGUGUGAACGUGAUAAAUAAUAAAUUAUAAAUAAUAGUUACCGAUUAAAGCUCAAAAUAGACUAUUUCAUAUUAGUUGCCUUCGACUUUGAAUUUUUACAGUUUUUAGAUUUGGAUUGAGAUUUUAUAAGGGUAAUAUUGAUAGGAUAAUUGAGACAAACCAAGUCGGACCGGUUACGACCCGGUCGUAGGAAAUGAUAUACACUAAAGUUCUAAAGUUCAGUAGAUAAAUUACGAGGUUAGUAACUUUGGGGUCCACAUUUAAGCUGGAUUCAUGGAGUAUCAAUCUUAAUCGUUAAAUUUAAUUAUAAAUAAUAUCUUUGAUUAUCAAAAUUUGUGUAGAAUUCAAUGUUUAUAAAUAAUCUUAAACAUCGUCAUCAAUUAAUAAUUAACAUCCUUCAACUUUAAUAAAUAUUAAGAUCAAUGUUUUUCUUAUUAGUUAUAUUAGUAGAAUAUACGUCCUAUGAUUUGGAAAUUAAUGGUUUUUCAUGUUGAUUACAUUGUAUAAUACAAUUUUUAGGUUGUCGGAUGUUCUAAAAUAUUGUAGAGCAAAAAAAAUUAGAAUCGAAACUACUAGAUUAUAUUUUAUUCAAUUUUGAAAAAUAUGAAAUACAAGACUCUACUUUAUGAUGGAAUUCAAUAUAACUUUAAUAAUAUAACAUAUUAAAUAUUAAUCUGCUUACCUGUAUUUGGUUGAGCACUAAUGAUACUUAUUUCAGAUUUCCCCAAAUAUCUAAGAAGAUAUCACGAGGAUAUUAUAGAAUUAAAGACUGCCUUGGAUUUAUAUAAUGUAGUGGUAGUUUCACAUGUAAACGUACAUCCUAUAUAUUGUCCUCGGAGUUUCAGAUGUAUAAAUAUACAUACAUUAGUCUUCUGUUUACAUUACCAAAUUUAAUAUAAUUAUCUCUCAUCCUUAAAGCUCACAUCUCAUACUAAAACUUCAUUAUACCUCAAUCAGUUUUAUAAUUUAUUUUCAUGAGUUAUGAAUGAUAUAAGCUAUUACUCAUUUAUUAAUUUGAUAUGUGAUGUAUCUGCAAAGAAGAGAAGAAAAAUAUUUACACCAAGUUCAGAGGAUCCUCGUAUAUAUUUUGCGAGGUAAUUGAUACAAAAUGAUCUAAUUUUUUACGUUAAAAGAACAUAUCAGUUGGCAUUAAUUUUAAUUUUAAUUUUAAUAAGUGAAUAUAUUAACUACUGCUACAUUCAGAUAUCUUACUAAAAUUAAUGAUAGUCAACAAAUGGAGUGUAUAAUUGACAUUGUUUAACCUGUUGAAAUGCAGGAGCCAUGGAUUCAGUUAAGCAAUUGUAGUAACAAUUGCAACAAAAAUUGAAUUCAUUUCAUCUUUUUAUUUUCAGGUCAUUUUCUUUAUCUCUUUUUAUAUGUCACAUGAGAGUUGAACACUGAUCUAAGCUAAAUUUGAUAAACACCACAUAUGUCUGAAUAUUUAUAACUCAAUUAUUGUUUCUUAUCAUAAUGUUUAGGAUUAAGUGGUUUAUUGCAGGAAUUUUGUAGAGAAAUAAAGAAAGAGAAAAAUAAUGGGGAAA